UACGGGGGGGGCAAGCGUUGUUCGGAAUUAUUGGGCGUAAAGGGCGCGUAGGCGGUCUUCUAAGUCGGACGUGAAAUCCCUCGGCUUAACCGAGGAACUGCGUCCGAUACUGAAAGGCUUGAAUCCGGGAGAGGGAUGUGGAAUUCCAGGUGUAGCGGUGAAAUGCGUAGAUAUCUGGAGGAACACCGGUGGCGAAGGCGGCAUCCUGGACCGGUAUUGACGCUGAGGCGCGAAAGCUAGGGGAGCAAACGGG
This 253-nucleotide ribosomal RNA is filed under the name uncultured bacterium. RNAcentral describes it as "partial 16S ribosomal RNA". It matches the Rfam family "Bacterial small subunit ribosomal RNA", at positions 524 to 776 of the family's 1533-position model. The record is from RNAcentral.